This is a long non-coding RNA of Pongo pygmaeus (Bornean orangutan), 852 nucleotides long. RefSeq lists it as uncharacterized. The transcript is spliced from 3 exons. The record is from RefSeq and is a predicted model, not a curated record. NCBI's taxonomy places the organism in Eukaryota, Metazoa, Chordata, Mammalia, Primates, Hominidae.
GUCCAGCUCAGUAGCCCUAGAGUUCCGGCCCCGGAGCGGAGCUUGUGCUGAGCAGAGGCGGGGCCUGGGGACUGGGCGUUAACAUCCCGCUUUGAACAGCCAGAGGGAUCCUUCUAAACGUACUGGGAUAUCAGAUGAUGUCAUGCCCUGGUCUCCACUUACCAAAAACUUCCCAGCACACAUGGAAUAAAAUCUAGCUCUGCACUCCUCUCCAACCUCACUCAUCUCCUUCAACAUUCCCCUCAUUCAUCAUUCUCCAGUCACACUAAUCUCCUUGCUGUUCCUCAAACCCAGCAAAGAAAGCUUCCACCUUGGUGCUUCGUAAUCUUCACACCAUCUCUAAAAGGCUGGAGUGCAAUGGCAUGAUCUCGGCUCACUGCAACCUCCGCCUCCUGGGUUCAAGUGAAUCUCCUGCCUCAGCCUCCUGAGUAGCUGGGAUUACAGGUGCCCGCCACCACACUUGGCUAUGAACCAGGUCAUUUUUAACAUUUUCUUCUGAAUCAGUUAUAUGUAUUAACAGUGGAAGAGAAAACAGUAUGACCAGAGAAAAAUAAAAACAAAACCUAGUUGGACCAACUAGCUAAGGCCAAAUCAAAACACACAAAACCAUUUACAAAAAUUAUAAAUCAUUUUUUAAAAGGAAAAACACACACAGAACCAGUCCGAAAUGGAUGAAUCUACACUGAUUUAGAUGGAGCCAGGUCAGAUGGGAGCUAGUUCAAACCAGAGGGAAUCAGAUCAAAACACAUCAAAGAAGAUGAAAAUGGAAUAAAGUAAAUCUGAUUAAAUCAUAUCAGGGAAACAGCCAUGCCAUUUGGAGCAAACUCCCAAAGAAACUCCUCCCUGAAACUG